RNAcentral lists this ribosomal RNA (405 nucleotides) under Gyrodinium helveticum. RNAcentral describes it as "partial small subunit ribosomal RNA". It matches the Rfam family "Eukaryotic small subunit ribosomal RNA", at positions 30 to 432 of the family's 1831-position model. Lineage: Eukaryota; Dinophyceae; Gymnodiniales; Gymnodiniaceae. The record is from RNAcentral.
GCUUGUCUCAAAGAUUAAGCCAUGCAUGUCUAAGUGUAAAUACGUCUACACUGUGAAACUGCGAAUGGCUCAUUAAAUCAGUUAUCGUUUAUUUGAUGAUCUCUCGUUACAUGGAUAACCGUGGUAAUUCUAGAGCUAAUACAUGCGCCCAAACCCAACUUCUUGGAAGGGUUGUGUUUAUUAGAUACAGAACCAACCCAGGCUCCGCCUGGCCUUGAGGUGAUUCACAAUAACCGAACGAAUCGCAUAGCUGCCGCUGGCGAUAGACCAUUCAAGUUUCUGACCUAUCAGCUAUCGUCGGUAGGGUAUUGGCCUACCGUGGCAAUGACGGGUAACGGAGAAUUAGGGUUCGAUUCCGGAGAGGGAGCCUGAGAAACGGCUACCACAUCUAAGGAAGGCAGCAGG